CAGGAUAUAGCGCAGUCCGGUAGCGCAUCUGCUUUGGGAGCAGAGGGUCGCAGGUUCAAAUCCUGCUAUCUUGA
This 74-nucleotide transfer RNA is filed under the name Chloroparvula pacifica. Its description in RNAcentral is "tRNA-Pro". It matches the Rfam family "tRNA". Rfam says of the family: Transfer RNA (tRNA) molecules are approximately 80 nucleotides in length. Their secondary structure includes four short double-helical elements and three loops (D, anti-codon, and T loops). The record is from RNAcentral. Lineage: Eukaryota; Viridiplantae; Chlorophyta; Chloropicophyceae; Chloropicales; Chloropicaceae.